This 497-nucleotide ribosomal RNA is filed under the name uncultured bacterium. RNAcentral describes it as "partial 16S ribosomal RNA". It matches the Rfam family "Bacterial small subunit ribosomal RNA", at positions 28 to 507 of the family's 1533-position model. The record is from RNAcentral.
GAUGAACGCUGGCGGCGUGCCUAAUACAUGCCAGUCGAGCGAACAGACGAGGAGCUUGCUCCUCUGACGUUAGCGGCGGACGGGUGAGUAACACGUGGAUAACCUACCUAUAAGACUGGGAUAACUUCGGGAAACCGGAGCUAAUACCGGAUAAUAUAUUGAACCGCAUGGUUCAAUAGUGAAAGACGGUUUUGCUGUCACUUAUAGAUGGAUCCGCGCCGCAUUAGCUAGUUGGUAAGGUAACGGCUUACCAAGGCAACGAUGCGUAGCCGACCUGAGAGGGUGAUCGACCACACUGGAACUGAAACACGGUCCAGACUCCUACGGGAGGCAGCAGUAGGGAAUCUUCCGCAAUGGGCGAAAGCCUGACGGAGCAACGCCGCGUGAGUGAUGAAGGUCUUCGGAUCGUAAAACUCUGUUAUUAGGGAAGAACAAAUGUGUAAGUAACUAUGCACAUCUUGACGGUACCUAAUCAGAAAGCCACGGCUAACUACGUG